Molecule: non-coding RNA, 20 nt
Filed under: Arabidopsis thaliana (thale cress)
Lineage: Eukaryota; Viridiplantae; Streptophyta; Magnoliopsida; Brassicales; Brassicaceae
Source: RNAcentral
UUGAACAUGGUUUAUUAGGA